CCGGCUAACUACGUNCCAGCAGCCGCGGUAAUACGUAGGGUGCGAGCGUUANUCGGAAUUACUGGGCGUAAAGCGGGCGCAGACGGUUACUUAAGCAGGAUGUGAAAUCCCCGGGCUCAACCUGGGAACUGCNUUCUGAACUGGGUGACUAGAGUGUGUCAGAGGGAGGUAGAAUUCCACGUGUAGCAGUGAAAUGCGUAGAGAUGUGGAGGAAUACCGAUGGCGAAGGCAGCCUCCUGGGAUAACACUGACGUUCAUGCCCGAAAGCGUGGGUAGCAAACAGGAUUAGAUACCCUGGUGGUCCACGCCCUAAACGAUGUCGAUUAGCUGUUGGGCAGCAUGACUGCUUAGUAGCGAAGCUAACGCGUGGAAUCGACCGCCUGGGGAGUACGGUCGCAAGAUUAAAACUCAAAGGAAUUGACGGGGACCCGCACAAGCGGUGGAUGAUGUGGAUUAAUUCGAUGCAACGCGAAGAACCUUCCCUGGUCUUGACAUGUACGGAACCCUCCAGAGACGGAGGAGUGCCUUCGGGAGCCGUAACACAGGUGCUGCAUGGCUGUCGUCAGCUCGUGUCGUGAGAUGUUGGGUUAAGUCCCGCAACGAGCGCAACCCUUGUCAUUAGUUGCCAUCAUUAAGUUGGGCACUCUAAUGAGACUGCCGGUGACAAGCCGGAGGAAGGUGGGGAUGACGUCAAGUCCUCAUGGCCCUUAUGACCAGGGCUUCACACGUCAUACAAUGGUCGGUACAGAGGGUAGCCAAGCCGCGAGGCGGAGCCAAUCUCACAAAACCGAUCGUAGUCCGGAUUGCACUCUGCAACUCGAGUGCAUGAAGUCGGAAUCGCUAGUAAUCGCAGGUCAGCAUACUGCGGUGAAUACGUUCCCGGGUCUUGUACACACCGCCCGUCACACCAUGGGAGUGGGGGAUACCAGAANU
Molecule: ribosomal RNA, 933 nt
Filed under: uncultured bacterium
Lineage: Bacteria
Description: bacterial SSU rRNA
Rfam family: Bacterial small subunit ribosomal RNA
Source: RNAcentral